GUACCGGAUGGGAGUUAUACCGCAGUGGCCCAUAACUGUACAUUGAAGGGGAGCGGCGUCAAAUGUACAGACGGUGC
This 77-nucleotide non-coding RNA is filed under the name unclassified sequences. Its description in RNAcentral is "CyVA-1 RNA". It matches the Rfam family "CyVA-1 RNA". Rfam says of the family: Cyanobacteria, Acidobacteria (1 example), Verrucomicrobia (1 example). Big IGRs The record is from Rfam by way of RNAcentral.